CAGGAUGAACGCUAGCUACAGGCUUAACACAUGCAAGUCGAGGGGGCAGCAUGUGGUUGCUUGCAACCAAUGAUGGCGACCGGCGCACGGGUGAGUAACGCGUAUCCAACCUCCCCUUAGUAGAGGAUAGCCCGGCGAAAGUCGGAUUAAUACUCUAUGUUCUUCAAUGCGGGCAUCUAAGUUGAAGCAAAGAUUUAUCGCUAAGGGAUGGGGAUGCGUCUGAUUAGGUUGCAGGCGGGGUAACGGCCCACCUGGCCUACGAUCAGUAGGGGUUCUGAGAGGAAGGUCCCCCACACUGGUACUGAGACACGGACCAGACUCCUACGGGAGGCAGCAGUGAGGAAUAUUGGUCAAUGGGCGCGAGCCUGAACCAGCCAAGUAGCGUGCAAGGACGACUGCCCUAUGGGUUAGUAAACUGCUUUUAUCAGGGAAUAAAGUGAGGCACGCGUGCCUUUUUGUAUGUACCUGAUGAAUAAGGACCGGCUAAUUCCGUGCCAGCCGCCGC
RNAcentral lists this ribosomal RNA (505 nucleotides) under uncultured bacterium. Its description in RNAcentral is "bacterial SSU rRNA". It matches the Rfam family "Bacterial small subunit ribosomal RNA", at positions 25 to 518 of the family's 1533-position model. The record is from RNAcentral.